AACGAACGCUGGCGGCAGGCUUAACACAUGCAAGUCGAGCGGGCCCUUCGGGGUCAGCGGCGGACGGGUUAGUAACGCGUGGGAACGUGCCCUUUGCUCUGGAAUAGCCCUGGGAAACCGGGGGUAAUGCCGGAUGUGCCCCGAGGGGGAAAGGUUUACCGGCAAGGGAUCGGCCCGCGUCUGAUUAGGUAGUUGGUGGGGUAACGGCCCACCAAGCCGACGAUCGGUAGCUGGUUUGAGAGGAUGAUCAGCAACACUGGGACUGAGACACGGCCCAGACUCCUACGGGAGGCAGCAGUGGGGAAUCUUAGACAAUGGGCGAAAGCCUGAUCUAGCCAUGCCGCGUGGAUGAUGAAGGCCUUAGGGUCGUAAAGUCCUUUCGCCGGGGAAGAUAAUGACGGUACCCGGUAAAGAAGCCCCGGCUAACUCCGUGCCAGCCGCCGCCGUAACAC
RNAcentral lists this ribosomal RNA (452 nucleotides) under uncultured bacterium. RNAcentral's name for it is "bacterial SSU rRNA". It matches the Rfam family "Bacterial small subunit ribosomal RNA", at positions 28 to 526 of the family's 1533-position model. The record is from RNAcentral.